GAAGCAAUUCAGCAAACGUGUGAAUUAUAUGAUGAAAUGGCAAAACAAUUUCAACUGGUGUCUAGCUAAUCUUUCUAAUCUCAGUCAAAAGAAAUAUCAGAAUAGAGUUGUGUUUUGACAAAAUUGUUUUCUGUGUCCUAAGACUAAUUCAUUUUAUAUUGUAGAAUGGCAUAUAACGCCACCUUUAGAGUGUCCUAGUGUGCUUCAUUUUGUCUUUCCUUGAU
RNAcentral lists this long non-coding RNA (224 nucleotides) under Vigna radiata. RNAcentral's name for it is "long non-coding RNA (VRAD_LNC006834)". Lineage: Eukaryota; Viridiplantae; Streptophyta; Magnoliopsida; Fabales; Fabaceae. The record is from RNAcentral.